AAAUAUCCUACAGGGGUUUAUUUAGAGAAUGACAUGUGUACACUGUUAAGUGCUGAUAGUGGAUGCUGCAAUUCCGCUCUCUGGUUGAGAUGCACACGCAAGCUUAGACAUCUUGGUAACGGGUUGGGUGAGGAAGAGUGUAUUGAGUGGGAUUGUGCGCACACAGGGAUGCAGGCUCCUUUCCUCACGUGGUAAUGUCCUAAGGGGGGUGUUCUCGUCACUACUCACCGCUCUAACGAUCUCACCAUAGACAAGCCAUGUGUGUGCAGCCUCUUCUUCCCAGCAAAUGUUAGCUUCACCAUCAGCAAUGUGAGUUCGGGACACAAGCAUUACCUCAGGUUGCUGCCUGUUUCUAUAGGGCAGCUACUUUCCUGCCUUAGCAUAGUAGAAUUAAAAUGUACUUGGUGCUUUAUUGUUUCCAUGUGGAGCUCACCGCCAUCUCAGCAGGAACCAGUGUGUGUUUCUCAACUGUGUUAGCCAGGGCUGAAAAUGUGCCUUCUGUUUGCACUUCCUCGACUGCUAGGGAGGUGGAGCAUCUCCCUGGCCUGCAGGUCAUUUGAGCUUUGUUUCUGUGAAUUGUACAUUGCUAUCCGUCUCACUUUGUAGCACACCUAGGAGAUCAUAUUACACAUGGGCAAUUUGUUGUCUUCAUCUAGAAUAUGUCAUUUGCCCUUUUUCUGUCAAAAUACUUAGCCAGUGUUGUUUUAUGAAGGGCCAGACCGAGUAUUUCAGGUUGGGCUUUUAUGCAGCCUUUGCUGCGUAGAAGCCUCCUGUAUACGCCAGUGGUCCUCAGCCACUUCUGCCACAUCCCCAGGAGGCAUUUGCCAAUGUCCACAGGCAUUUUUUUGUCACUUUAAAAUGACUGCUGCUUAUGUCUAGUGGGCAGAGGCCAGAGAGGCUUCUCAGUGUCCUGGGGUGCACAGCACAGCCCCCCAAAAAUGAUGUCACACUCCAAAAUGUCAUUAGGUUUCUGGCCAGAACAGAAUGGGAUACCACUGUGUAGCAAUAAAACAUUCACAGAGACAAGCAGCUGGCCACAUCGAGCCUGCAAGUGUGCCUUCCCACCUGGUUUUAGUAGCAUUUAUCUGUAUUAUUAGUUUUGUUUCUGAAAUCUCUUUUACCUCAAGUAGUUUUCCAGCCCAUGUGUAACCCAUUAUUUCAGCCCAUUAUUUCUAAAGUGUGGGUUUGUGUUUGCUUGGUUUGGGUUGAGUUUUAUAAAAUAAAGUAAAUCAUUUC
RNAcentral lists this long non-coding RNA (1236 nucleotides) under Mus musculus (house mouse). RNAcentral's name for it is "long non-coding RNA chr7:30027037-30028273". The record is from RNAcentral. Lineage: Eukaryota; Metazoa; Chordata; Mammalia; Rodentia; Muridae.